Molecule: ribosomal RNA, 397 nt
Filed under: uncultured bacterium
Lineage: Bacteria
Description: partial 16S ribosomal RNA
Rfam family: Bacterial small subunit ribosomal RNA
Source: RNAcentral
AUACGUAGGUGACAAGCGUUAUCCGGAUUUACUGGGCGUAAAGGGCGUGUAGGCGGUCUUGCAAGUCAGAAGUGAAAUUCCUGAGCUCAACUCGGGCGCUGCUUCUGAAACUGCAGGACUUGAGUGCUGGAGGGGAUAGCGGAAUUCCUAGUGGAGCGGUAAAAUGCGCAGAUAUUAGGAAGAACACCGGUGGCGAAGGCGGCUAUCUGGACAGUAACUGACGCUGAGGCGCGAAAGCGUGGGGAGCAAACAGGAUUAGAUCCCCUGGUAGUCCACGCCGUAAACGAUGAAUACUAGGUGUAGGGGGUAUCGACUCCCUCUGUGCCGCAGUUAACACAAUAAGCAUUCCGCCUGGGGAGUACGGCCGCAAGGUUGAAACUCAAAUGAAUUGGCGGGG